CCUACGGGAGGCAGCAGUGGGGAAUAUUGGGCAAUGGGCGCAAGCCUGACCCAGCAACGCCGCGUGAAGGAAGAAGGCUUUCGGGUUGUAAACUUCUUUUGUCAGGGACGAAGCGAGUGCCGGUACCUGACGAAUAAGCCACGGCUAACUACGUACCAGCAGCCGCGGUAAUACGUAGGUGGCAAGCGUUAUCCGGAUUUCCUGGGUGUAAAGGGCGUGUAGGCGGGACUGCAAGUCAGAUGUGAAAACCACGGGCUCAACCUGUGGCCUGCAUUUGAAACUGUAGUUCUUGAGUACUGGAGAGGCAGACGGAAUUCCUGGUGUAGCGGUGAAAUGCGUAGAUAUUAGGAGGAACUCCAGUGGCGAAGGCGGUCUGCCGGACCGCAACUGACGCUGAGGCGCGAAAGCGUGGGGAGCAAACAGGAUUAGAUACCCUAGUAGUC
RNAcentral lists this ribosomal RNA (443 nucleotides) under uncultured bacterium. RNAcentral describes it as "partial 16S ribosomal RNA". It matches the Rfam family "Bacterial small subunit ribosomal RNA", at positions 338 to 795 of the family's 1533-position model. The record is from RNAcentral.